CCUACGGGAGGCUGCAGUGGGGAAUAUUGGGCAAUGGAGGAAACUCUGACCCAGCAACGCCGCGUGAAUGAUGAAGGUCUUCGGAUUGUAAAGUUCUUUUCUAAGGGAAGAAGAAAGUGACGGUACCUGAUGACUAAGCUACGGCUAACUACGUGCCAGCAGCCGCCGGAAUACGUAGGGAGCAAGCGUUAUCCGGAUUUACUGGGUGUAAAGGGCGCGUAGGCGGGAUGGCAAGUCAGAUGUGAAAUCCAGGGGCUCGACCCCUGAACUGCAGUUGAAACUGUCGUUCUUGAGUGCUGGAGAGGUUGACGGAAUUCCUAGUGUAGCGGUGAAAUGCGUAGAUAUUAGGAGGAACACCAAUGGCGAAGGCGGUCAACUGGACAGCAACUGACGCUGAGGCGCGAAAGCGUGGGGAGCAAACAGGAUUAGAUACCCCAGUAGUC
This 443-nucleotide ribosomal RNA is filed under the name uncultured bacterium. Its description in RNAcentral is "partial 16S ribosomal RNA". It matches the Rfam family "Bacterial small subunit ribosomal RNA", at positions 338 to 795 of the family's 1533-position model. The record is from RNAcentral.